CUCCACCCAAAGAAUUCUGAUAAAUUCAUUCACAAAAUACUCAUUAGGGUGUGUACAGACAGCUGCUUCCAUGGUAAUAUACACAGUCUAUUGCUUGAAUGGGUUGCCCUAAGGGACCUUGGAGACAGCC
RNAcentral lists this small nucleolar RNA (130 nucleotides) under Dasypus novemcinctus (nine-banded armadillo). RNAcentral describes it as "Small nucleolar RNA SNORA70 (ENSDNOG00000040286.1)". It matches the Rfam family "Small nucleolar RNA SNORA70". Rfam says of the family: snoRNA U70 seems to be exclusive to mammals and is a member of the H/ACA class of snoRNA which contain H (ANANNA) and ACA box motifs. H/ACA box snoRNAs are involved in the conversion of uridines to pseudouridines (5-ribosyluracil) a constituent of structural RNAs (transfer, ribosomal, small nuclear, and small nucleolar). The record is from RNAcentral. Lineage: Eukaryota; Metazoa; Chordata; Mammalia; Cingulata; Dasypodidae.